RNAcentral lists this ribosomal RNA (441 nucleotides) under uncultured bacterium. Its description in RNAcentral is "partial 16S ribosomal RNA". The record is from RNAcentral.
GACUACAAGGGUAUCUAAGCCCGUUUGCUCCCCACGCUUUCGUUCCUGAGUGUCAGAACAGGUCCAGUAAGCUGCCUUCGCUUUUGGUAUUCCUCUGUAUAUCUACGGAUAUUACCCCUACAUACAGAAUUCUACUUACCUCUACCUGUCUCUAGUUUGCCAGUUUUGAAUACAUGACUUGAGUUAAGCUCAAGGCUUUAACAUCCAACUUAACAAACCACCUACGAACGCUUUACGCCCAAUAAUUCCGGAUAACGCUUGCAACCUACGUCUUACCGCGGCUGCUGGCACGUAGUUAGCCGUUGCUUAUUCCUGAGGUACCUUCAGAAUUAUUCCCUCAGAAAAGGAGUUUACGACGAAAACGCCUUCAUCCUCCACGCGGCGUUGCUCCGUCAGGCUUUCGCCCAUUGCGGAAGAUUCCUCACUGCAGCCCCCCGUAGG